RNAcentral lists this ribosomal RNA (206 nucleotides) under uncultured bacterium. Its description in RNAcentral is "partial 16S ribosomal RNA". It matches the Rfam family "Bacterial small subunit ribosomal RNA", at positions 568 to 774 of the family's 1533-position model. The record is from RNAcentral.
CGUGUAGGCGGUUGUCCAAGUUGGAUGUGAAAGCCUUGAGCUUAACUCAAGAAAUGCAUUCAGGACUGGAUGACUAGAGGACCGGAGAGGAUAGUGGAAUUCCCAGUGUAGUGGUGAAAUACGUAGAGAUUGGGAAGAACGCCAGUGGCGAAGGCGGCUAUCUGGACGGUUUCUGACGCUAAGACGCGAAAGCGUGGGAGCAAACA